This 794-nucleotide long non-coding RNA is filed under the name Helianthus annuus (common sunflower). RNAcentral's name for it is "hypothetical non coding rna". The record is from RNAcentral. Lineage: Eukaryota; Viridiplantae; Streptophyta; Magnoliopsida; Asterales; Asteraceae.
AUGUUGGCUAUGUUUGUCAAGGGGCACUUUAGGAAUUUCCUUUCUUCAGGUGUCAGCUAAUGUGGUUGAAACAGAGAGAGGAUGCCAGCUGUUGUUGUUAAAAUAAAUGGAGAGAAGGAGAUAACACAGAAGAUAGAGAUAGAGAAGAUAGAGUAGAGUAGAGUGAAAGGAAGCCGGAAGAGGAGUCGGCCAUGUACUCCUGGUUUUGGUGAUGAACAAUUGAACAGUAAUAGCGGUGGUCUGCAGGACGGCUAAUGAUGUUGCGGUGGUUGUAGCCGGCGUGGGUGGAUUUCUUUAUGUACCACCCUCAUUUGUUGAUUUUUUACGAACCAUAGACUUUAUUUCAGCUGUUGGUUGCUUCCUAAAAUACAACUUCCUAUGCAUUAGGUACUAUCUUUGCGGAAGAGAAUAGUGGUAAUGAUGAAAGACAUUACCGGUGAACCAAAACAACCGCUGUAAAUUGCUUAGAAAGCUACUACGAAGACAGGUGUUGAUUUGUAGAGGGAGAGAGAGAGAAAGUGACGAUUGUGUGGGUUUUAUCUUUAUGUACUUUUUUUAAGAAAUAAAGUACCAAACAAUUUUGAGUUUUUGAUUUCUGGUUUUUGAUCUUCAGAUACGAAGUUGAUGAUGGUGAUUUUUAAUUUGCAGAAAGUAUCAAAAGUGUAGGUGGUGAGUAGUAAUGGUGUUUUUCAUAUGAAGAUAGCAGAGGAUGAUGAUGCUGCCACAAAGCAUUAAAGGUCUCAAAAUCUUGGAAAAAUCAUUGUAUUAAAUGUAUUUAAAUAAUUCUACGGUUU